RNAcentral lists this ribosomal RNA (253 nucleotides) under uncultured bacterium. RNAcentral's name for it is "partial 16S ribosomal RNA". It matches the Rfam family "Bacterial small subunit ribosomal RNA", at positions 524 to 776 of the family's 1533-position model. The record is from RNAcentral.
UACAGAGGUGGCAAGCGUUGUUCGGAAUUACUGGGCGUAAAGGGCGCGUAGGCGGUCUUGUAAGUCCCGUGUGAAAUCCCUCGGCUCAACUGAGGAACUGCACGGGAAACUGCUUGGCUUGAGUUCGGGAGAGGGAAGCGGAAUUCCGGGUGGAGCGGUGAAAUGCGUUGAGAUCGGAAGGAACGCCCGUGGCGAAAGCGAGGUCCUGGACGCCUACUGACGCUGAGACGCGAAAGCCAGGGGAGCGAACGGG